This 587-nucleotide ribosomal RNA is filed under the name Scraptia sp. SCR03. RNAcentral describes it as "partial 12S ribosomal RNA". Lineage: Eukaryota; Metazoa; Arthropoda; Insecta; Coleoptera; Scraptiidae. The record is from RNAcentral.
AUACAAAUUAAAUUAGUUAAGUUUGUUUAAUUUAAUUAAAUUGAUUAUGGAAAAAGUAGAAUAAAAAUAAGAUUAUUAGGUGAAAUUUUAAUUUUUAAAUAUUUUAUGAUUUGAGAUUUUGAAGUUAAGAAAUUUAGUUUUAAACUAGGAUUAGAUACCCUAUUAUUUUAAAUGUAAAUUUUAGUUAAAAUUAUUAAUAGUUAAGAUCUUUAAAAUUAAAAGAUUUGGCGGUAUUUUAGUCUUUUCAGAGGAACCUGUUUUUUAAUUGAUAAUCCACAAUAAAAUUUACUUAAUUUUUUAAUUUGUAUAUCGUCGUGGUAAGAAUAUUUUUAUAGAAAUAAAAUGUUCUAAGUUUUAAUAAGAAUGGAAAUCAGAUCAAGGUGCAGUUUAUAAUUAAGAAAAAAUGGGUUACAUUAGAUUUAGCUUUGGUAUUAAAAUUGAAAAUUUUAGUUAAAUUGGAUUUGAAAGUAAAUAAUAAUAUUUUUAUGUUUUGAUUAAGCUCUAAAAUAUGCACAUAUUGCCCGUCGCUUUCAUAUAAGGUGAAAUAAGUCGUAACAAAGUAGAUUUAUUGGAAAAUGAGUCUGGAA